GGGGUUGUAGCUCAGUGGUAGAGUGCUUGCCUCACAUGUGUGAGGCAAUGGGUUCAAUCCUCAGCGCCA
This 69-nucleotide transfer RNA is filed under the name Ictidomys tridecemlineatus (thirteen-lined ground squirrel). RNAcentral describes it as "Spermophilus tridecemlineatus (thirteen-lined ground squirrel) tRNA". It matches the Rfam family "tRNA". Rfam says of the family: Transfer RNA (tRNA) molecules are approximately 80 nucleotides in length. Their secondary structure includes four short double-helical elements and three loops (D, anti-codon, and T loops). Further hydrogen bonds mediate the characteristic L-shaped molecular structure. tRNAs have two regions of fundamental functional importance: the anti-codon, which is responsible for specific mRNA codon recognition, and the 3' end, to which the tRNAs corresponding amino acid is attached (by aminoacyl-tRNA synthetases). tRNAs cope with the degeneracy of the genetic code in two manners: having more than one tRNA (with a specific anti-codon) for a particular amino acid; and 'wobble' base-pairing, i.e. permitting non-standard base-pairing at the 3rd anti-codon position. Lineage: Eukaryota; Metazoa; Chordata; Mammalia; Rodentia; Sciuridae. The record is from Rfam by way of RNAcentral.